UUUUUUUUUCUAAUUUGAUCCGAUAUACAAAGGCCUCGUCAUUGCCGUACUAGCGGCUGCCUACUGGUCUUUAAUAAAUCUAAAUAUAAAAGACCUCAAUACCCUAAAUAAAUAAAUAAAAUCAGGCCUGUAGAUAUUAUAUUUGAGAUUCGUUGUCCAAAUAUUAUUAUCCUAAAAAAACAGAAAACGUAAGAUCAAGAUGGCUCCCACCUAAAUUAACGCAUUAGCAUGUGGUAUUAGAUUAACCUCACGACAUAAUUUGAUAAUCGAAAGUCUAUAAGUAGGCCAAACCGACCACGACAAAGCCUGAUGGAGACGCCAAUUGCUCGCCAGUCAGUCUCGAGCCCACCUUCCACUCAAAAAAACUCCAAGACAAAUCAAACCAUCACACCCGAAAUUAUCACUUAGGGACAUAUUUGUCCGUUUAAUUGGAAAGGUCCCCUUCAGAAAAACCACUAUUUAG
RNAcentral lists this unclassified non-coding RNA (463 nucleotides) under Hevea brasiliensis (rubber tree). The record is from RNAcentral. Lineage: Eukaryota; Viridiplantae; Streptophyta; Magnoliopsida; Malpighiales; Euphorbiaceae.